CCUACGGGUGGCAGCAGUGGGGAAUAUUGCACAAUGGGCGAAAGUCUGAUGCAGCAACGCCGCGUGAAGGAAGAAGGGUUUCGGCUCGUAAACUUCUAUCAACAGGGACGAAAGAAAUGACGGUACCUGAAUAAGAAGCCCCGGCUAACUACGUACCAGCAGCCGCGUUAAGACGUAGGGGGCACGCGUUAUCCGGAAUUACUGGGGGUAAAGGGUGAGUAGGCGGUAUUGUAAGCCAGAUGUGAAAGCCCUGGGCUUAACCCGAGGAUUGCAUUUGGAACUGUCAAGCUAGAGUGCAGGAGAGGAUAGCGGAAUUCCUAGUGUAGCGGUGAAAUGCGUAGAUAUUAGGAAGAACACCAGUGGCGAAGGCGACUGUCUGGACUGAAACUGACGCUGAGGCACGAAAGCGUGGGUAUCAAACAGGAUUAGAUACCCCAGUAGUC
Molecule: ribosomal RNA, 443 nt
Filed under: uncultured bacterium
Lineage: Bacteria
Description: partial 16S ribosomal RNA
Rfam family: Bacterial small subunit ribosomal RNA
Source: RNAcentral